Molecule: long non-coding RNA, 1848 nt
Filed under: Aplysia californica (California sea hare)
Lineage: Eukaryota; Metazoa; Mollusca; Gastropoda; Aplysiida; Aplysiidae
Description: uncharacterized LOC118478285
Source: RNAcentral
GUGUGUAUGUGUAUGUGCUGGUGUGUGUGUUGUGUGUGUGUGUGUGUGUGUGUGUGUGUUUAUCAUUUAUAUGAGAGUGACGCCAUCUGAUGGGUAGAAAACAAUGAGUGAUGAUAGUGUCCAAUAGUGUAUUACGUGCAUACUUAGUGUAACAAGUAACUGUAAUGGCAGGUAGGGAUUCCAGGAUUAUAGAUAUAAGUCAUUGAUUUAAGAGCGGUAAAUGAUUUUAAAUAUAAUCGUGAUGAGUGAUGAUGUGGGAUUUCGUUUUUAAGUAACGUUAGCAUUAUUCCUUUCUUCCUCUGCUCUAAUGAGUCAUGAGGGACGUGGGCACCGUCUAUUUCGUUCCCUACUGGAACCAUCUUGACGGUCACUGUGAAGUUCCGAAAUUGUGGGCACAGUCUCUGCUCAAGUGGUAUUGUUAGUGUUAGCCUAUUCUAUCGGGCCAAGACAAGUGUAGAGAGGAACUAAGUGGGAAGACAGUACAGUGGCAGGUAUGUAGGGGUAUUUUUAAGCGGGUUGUAGGGAGCAAGUUGACAGAUUAUGAUCUUUAAAAAUGCAGCAUUCUACUCCCUGACCUGAUCAUUUGCCCCGAGUAUUCUUUUCGAGUCAUAUUGAGCUUGCGGAGAUUCUGACACAGGAUCCUCGAACCCGAGUCGAGAGGGCACAAUUUAAAGUGUGUGUUCUUCUUAUAGCUUUUACAGUAGUUGGAAGUUGCUCUUCGGACUGUCCAUACCGGUUUAAUAAAACUGGGUUUGGAGAGCCCUGUUUCCGAGAGAAUGGGUACUGGCCCGGCCCACCUGCCUCGCCUGCCAGCAGUAGUAGCGCUUUCUGCCUGCCAGAGAAAUCGCGCGCGCCUUCUUCCCCCUCCUCCGAGCUUCUUUCAAGAGCUCGAUGGAAGAAGACUGAGAAGAGAAAGAGAUUUGUAGAGGGAGAGAAAAGAGAAGCGAGAGAGCGCGCGCGUUCGGCUGCUUGCUGGAUCUUCAACAACAAAGUCCAUCCGUUCUUUCGCAGACAGGCGCGGUUCGUGCGUUUCUCCGCUCCCUGCCUGGCCGCGAGUCUUCUCUCUCUCUCCCUUUCUCUCUCUCUCUCUCUCUCUCUCUCUCUCUCUCUCUCUCUCUCUCUCUCUCCUCCUCCCCCUCCUCCACCCCACAGCCUUCUUGUGCUGUUCCAUGCCCGCUGAGUAUCCCGGAGUCCCCGCUCACUCGCCUCUCAGUCAGUGUGCACACUUUGUGUUGUUCGGUGCUUUGAUGUUGUUCCCCUUUGGAGCCGCACACACCGCCUUAGCAGCUGCUGGAUCAUCGCUGCCUUUAUUCCUUGGAUUAAUCAACUCCAGUGAAAAGAUACGGGAAACAAACCUAGCACUGUGUGCCCUGCCAGGCUGUCACAUUCCUCCUGAACUCACGGUAUCGUACAGAUUUGUUUAUUCUACGCGUUGUAAAAUUGUCCAGAUCGCUGAACAUUUUUUUGUUUUCGCCUAGAUCUAGCUAGUUGUACGGUUGCGUGAGAGUAAAACGCGGCAACAUUUGUAAUUAUAGGAUCGAAGGUCUUCAGAUCUAACGCACGAAAGCUUCGUCGUAGCAUCAGGCAAUAAUAAAACAUAAUAAUAUCUUUUUCGAUUCAACAUCCAGCUUCGCUGACAAAAAACUCUGACUUUAGAAUCUCUAGAAGUUAGAACCUAGCGAAACAAACCUUCUUUUCCAGUCUUGUGGAAAGUCAGGCUGAGAGUCUCCGUAUCUCCAGCCAGUUCCGCCCCAGUUGUCGAGAGGUUCUGAGAGAACAGCUGCUGUUUGCUGUGUGUGCGCCACACGGCACCGCACGAUACAAAUCUGAGCCGGAUAGAAAAAAAAA